Molecule: transfer RNA, 72 nt
Filed under: Microcaldota archaeon
Lineage: Archaea; Nanobdellati; Microcaldota
Description: tRNA-Ala
Rfam family: tRNA
About the family: Transfer RNA (tRNA) molecules are approximately 80 nucleotides in length.
Source: RNAcentral
GGGCUCGUAGGUCAAUGGUAGACUGCCUCCAUGGCAUGGAGGAGGUUGCGGGUUCGACUCCCGCCGAGUCCA